GGAGCGGUGCAGGAGCGGCUUAACUGGCGGCACUGGAAAUGCCGUGUGCCCGAAAGGGCACCGUGGGUUCGAAUCCCACCCGCUCCGCCA
This 90-nucleotide transfer RNA is filed under the name Acidobacteriota bacterium. RNAcentral describes it as "Acidobacteria bacterium (sediment metagenome) tRNA-Ser". It matches the Rfam family "tRNA". From Rfam's summary of the family: Transfer RNA (tRNA) molecules are approximately 80 nucleotides in length. Their secondary structure includes four short double-helical elements and three loops (D, anti-codon, and T loops). The record is from RNAcentral. Lineage: Bacteria; Pseudomonadati; Acidobacteriota.